Molecule: ribosomal RNA, 254 nt
Filed under: uncultured bacterium
Lineage: Bacteria
Description: partial 16S ribosomal RNA
Rfam family: Bacterial small subunit ribosomal RNA
Source: RNAcentral
UACGUAGGGGGCAAGCGUUGUCCGGAUUCAUUGGGCGUAAAGAGCGUGUAGGCGGCCAGGUAGGUCGGUUUGUGAAAACUGGAGGCUCAACCUUCAGAGGUCGACCGAAACCAUCUGGCUAGAGUCCGGGAGAGGAGAGUGGAAUUCCUGGUGUAGCGGUGAAAUGCGCAGAUAUCAGGAAGAACACCCGUGGCGAAAGCGGCUCUCUGGAACGGUACUGACGCUGAGACGCGAAAGCGUGGGGAGCGAACAGG